Molecule: long non-coding RNA, 464 nt
Organism: Leptopilina boulardi
Lineage: Eukaryota; Metazoa; Arthropoda; Insecta; Hymenoptera; Figitidae
Exons: 2
Source: RefSeq, a predicted model, not a curated record
UCAUAUUCAAUUUGCGUUUAUUUUUUCCGUACCAAAUAAAUUGUUUAAAAUGAAAAUUUUCAUUUUCUGUUUUUUAUUAUAUUUAUUCGUGUCAAUUGAUGCAUUUGUUAAAGGCGGUAGACCUUACAGUAGACAGAAUUAUAAUAAAAAAAUUCGUGACCCAACUGUUUACACAUUAUCCGCAAUUAAAAUGACAUGUCCAGGCAAAUUUAGAGAAAUCAAUAAUUACUAUGGAAAUUGCAUCGGAUUUCCUAAUCCAAGUAUUCUAAAAAUUGGAACUGUCAAAUGUAAAGGCAAGGCUUAUUUAUGCCUAAAUCAGUAGAGAUUACCAUAUCCCUGGCGGAUUGGAUAAAUCGAGUUGUAACCGAAUUGGGUUAAGAUUCGGUUCCUUGUAAAAUAUUGUCAUUAAUCGACGAAAUAUGUUGUAAAAUAAUAAUAAAUAACUAUUAGGAAUGGUUAAUAGA